Molecule: ribosomal RNA, 467 nt
Filed under: uncultured bacterium
Lineage: Bacteria
Description: partial 16S ribosomal RNA
Rfam family: Bacterial small subunit ribosomal RNA
Source: RNAcentral
ACGCACGCUGGCGGCGUGCUUCACCCCUGCAAGUCGCACGGAAAGGCCCUGCUUUUGUGGGGUGCUCGAGUGGCGAACGGGUGAGUAACACGUGAGUAACCUGCCCUUGACUUUGGGAUAACUUCAGGAAACUGGGGCUAAUACCGGAUAGGAGCUCCUGCUGCAUGGUGGGGGUUGGAAAGUUUCGGCGGUUGGGGAUGGACUCGCGGCUUAUCAGCUUGUUGGUGGGGUAGUGGCUUACCAAGGCUUUGACGGGUAGCCGGCCUGAGAGGGUGACCGGCCACAUUGGGACUGAGAUACGGCCCAGACUCCUACGGGAGGCAGCAGUGGGGAAUAUUGCACAAUGGGCGGAAGCCUGAUGCAGCAACGCCGCAUGCGGGAUGACGGCCUUCGGGUUGUAAACCGCUUUCGCCUGUGACGAAGCGUGAGUGACGGUAAUGGGUAAAGAAGCACCGGCUAACUACGUG